CAGCCGCCGCGGUAAUAUGUAGGGUGCGAGCGUUAAUCGGAAUUACUGGGCGUAAAGCGUGCGCAGGCGGUUUGUUAAGACAGAUGUGAAAUCCCCGGGCUUAACCUGGGAACUGCAUUUGUGACUGGCCGGCUAGAGUAUGGCAGAGGGAGGUGGAAUUCCACGUGUAGCAGUGAAAUGCGUAGAUAUGUGGAGGAACACCGAUGGCGAAGGCAGCCUCCUGGGCCAAUACUGACGCUCAUGCACGAAAGCGUGGGGAGCAAACAGGAUUAGAUACCCGCGUAGUCCCUGUCUCUUAUAC
Molecule: ribosomal RNA, 301 nt
Filed under: uncultured bacterium
Lineage: Bacteria
Description: partial 16S ribosomal RNA
Rfam family: Bacterial small subunit ribosomal RNA
Source: RNAcentral